Molecule: ribosomal RNA, 459 nt
Filed under: uncultured bacterium
Lineage: Bacteria
Description: partial 16S ribosomal RNA
Rfam family: Bacterial small subunit ribosomal RNA
Source: RNAcentral
CCUACGGGUGGCAGCAGUGAGGAAUAUUGGUCAAUGGGAGAGAUCCUGAACCAGCCAAGCCGCGUGAGGGAAGACGGCCCUAUGGGUUGUAAACCUCUUUUGUCGGAGAACAAAACCCGGGACGUGUCCCGGACUGCGUGUAUCCGAAGAAAAAGCAUCGGCUAACUCCGUGCCAGCAGCCGCGGUAAUACGGAGGAUGCGAGCGUUAUCCGGAUUUAUUGGGUUUAAAGGGUGCGUAGGCGGUCAGUUAAGUCAGCGGUAAAAUUGCGGGGCUCAACCCCGUCGAGCCGUUGAGACUGGCAGUAUUGAGUUGGGGAGAAGUACGCGGAAGGCGCGGGUGAGCGGUGAAAGUCAUAGAUAGCGCGCAGAACUCCGAUUGCGAAGGCAGCGUACCGGCGCCAGACUGACGCUGAGGCACGAAAGCGUGGGGAUCGAACAGGAUUAGAUACCCCUGUAGUC